RNAcentral lists this ribosomal RNA (572 nucleotides) under Aspergillus flavus. RNAcentral describes it as "LSU rRNA". It matches the Rfam family "Eukaryotic large subunit ribosomal RNA", at positions 62 to 649 of the family's 3401-position model. The record is from RNAcentral. Lineage: Eukaryota; Fungi; Ascomycota; Eurotiomycetes; Eurotiales; Aspergillaceae.
AAACCAACCGGGAUUGCCUCAGUAACGGCGAGUGAAGCGGCAAGAGCUCAAAUUUGAAAGCUGGCUCCUUCGGGGUCCGCAUUGUAAUUUGCAGAGGAUGCUUCGGGUGCGGCCCCUGUCUAAGUGCCCUGGAACGGGCCGUCAGAGAGGGUGAGAAUCCCGUCUGGGAUGGGGUGUCCGCGCCCGUGUGAAGCUCCUUCGACGAGUCGAGUUGUUUGGGAAUGCAGCUCUAAAUGGGUGGUAAAUUUCAUCUAAAGCUAAAUACUGGCCGGAGACCGAUAGCGCACAAGUAGAGUGAUCGAAAGAUGAAAAGCACUUUGAAAAGAGAGUUAAAAAGCACGUGAAAUUGUUGAAAGGGAAGCGCUUGCGACCAGACUCGCCUCCAGGGUUCAGCCGGCAUUCGUGCCGGUGUACUUCCCUGGGGGCGGGCCAGCGUCGGUUUGGGCGGCCGGUCAAAGGCUCCCGGAAUGUAGUGCCCUCCGGGGCACCUUAUAGCCGGGAGUGCAAUGCGGCCAGCCUGGACCGAGGAACGCGCUUCGGCACGGACGCUGGCAUAAUGGUCGUAAACGACC